RNAcentral lists this long non-coding RNA (439 nucleotides) under Capra hircus (goat). Its description in RNAcentral is "lncRNA (ENSCHIG00000004639.1)". The record is from RNAcentral. Lineage: Eukaryota; Metazoa; Chordata; Mammalia; Artiodactyla; Bovidae.
CCAGCAGUGUGAGGAGGGGGUUUCGAUGGCCUGGGAAGCAUUCCCUGAUUAGUGGGGAUGGAGAUUGCUGGAUGAGUCACACCACACUCUCCGGUGGCACAGGUAUGAGGUAGGUUCCCUCCUCAUGUUUCCUCGCAGGGCCUUCAGCACUGGGUGGAGCCCCAGCUUCCUGCAGAGCUGGGCUGCACAAGAGCACACCUUGGAAUGGAUUUCCUCCCUCCCUGACCCGCUGUCAUCACUCUCUCAUUUGUGCAUGGAGAGACAACAUCACAGAAGUAGCUGUGUAUGCAGGGCUGACAGAACUACUCCACGGCCAUCCUGGUUACUUCCUGGUCCAAGACAUCUGCUGGAAGUCCGCCUAUCAUGUCCGAAAGGAAGAAGACAGGAAGACAGAAGCAAAAAGUGGAGCACCUCUCAGCUAAGUCAGAAAUCUUCCUGA